CCUACGGGAGGCAGCAGUGGGGAAUAUUGCACAAUGGGCGAAAGCCUGAUGCAGCAACGCCGCGUGAAGGAAGAAGGAUUUCGGCUCGUAAACUUCUAUCAACAGGGACGAAAGAAAUGACGGUUCCUGAAUAAGCAGCCCCGGAUAACUACGUGCCAGCAGCCGCGGUAAUACGGAGGGGGCAAGCGUUAUCCGGAAUUACUGGGUGUAAAGGGUGAGUAGGCGGCAUGGUAAGCCAGAUGUGAAAGGCCUGGGCUUAACCCGAGUAUUGCAUUUGAAACUGUGAAGCUAGAGUACAGGAGAGGAAAGCGGAAUUCCUAGUGUAGCGGUGAAAUGCGUAGAUAUUAGGAAGAACACCAGUGGCGAAGGCGGCUUUCUGGACUGAAACUGACGUUGAGGCACGAAAGCGUGGGGAGCGAACAGGAUUAGAUACCCGUGUAGUC
This 443-nucleotide ribosomal RNA is filed under the name uncultured bacterium. RNAcentral's name for it is "partial 16S ribosomal RNA". It matches the Rfam family "Bacterial small subunit ribosomal RNA", at positions 338 to 795 of the family's 1533-position model. The record is from RNAcentral.